This 466-nucleotide ribosomal RNA is filed under the name uncultured bacterium. RNAcentral's name for it is "partial 16S ribosomal RNA". It matches the Rfam family "Bacterial small subunit ribosomal RNA", at positions 28 to 507 of the family's 1533-position model. The record is from RNAcentral.
GAUGAACGCUGGCGGCGUGCUUAACACAUGCAAGUCGAACGAUGAAGCCCAGCUUGCUGGGUGGAUUAGUGGCGAACGGGUGAGUAACACGUGAGUAACCUGCCCUUGACUCUGGGAUAAGCCUGGGAAACUGGGUCUAAUACUGGAUAUGACUUCUCAUCGCAUGGUGGGGGGUGGAAAGAUUUAUUGGUCUUGGAUGGACUCGCGGCCUAUCAACUUGUUGGUGAGGUAGUGGCUCACCAAGGCGACGACGGGUAGCCGGCCUGAGAGGGUGACCGGCCACACUGGGACUGAGACACGGCCCAGACUCCUACGGGAGGCAGCAGUGGGGAAUAUUGCACAAUGGGCGCAAGCCUGAUGCAGCGACGCCGCGUGAGGGAUGACGGCCUUCGGGUUGUAAACCUCUUUCAGUAGGGAAGAAGCGAGAGUGACGGUACCUGCAGAAGAAGCGCCGGCUAACUACGUG